This 377-nucleotide long non-coding RNA is filed under the name Vulpes vulpes (red fox). RNAcentral's name for it is "lncRNA (ENSVVUG00000014152.1)". Lineage: Eukaryota; Metazoa; Chordata; Mammalia; Carnivora; Canidae. The record is from RNAcentral.
UAUUCCUAGCCAUCUCCUCCUUCUGCUUCCCUCUCCUCCUGAGCUGUCCUGAUAAACCUUAUGAUGCCAUUUCAUCUUUAUCAUUGCAGGCAGAACAAAUGCCAAGAUGUGUAUCCAAGUGGUCUUUGGGAAAGUGUCAUGAAGAGAGAUUAGUACACAGCCUUAACUAUUCACCUGGAUAUACAGCUAGAGACUUGUCCUUCUCCACUGCAACCCAGAGGAGGUCCUGCAUAAGCAGCAGGAGUUCUUUACGAGGAGUCCACAUCCAGCUCGUGGCAUGUUUCCUAUGCGUUGGCUGUCUCCAUUAAUUCCCCCUCUCCAGCUAAAUCAAUGUUUCUGUAUGCUGUCAGCACAUAAAGGAAUGCUUUUUUUAAAAU